RNAcentral lists this ribosomal RNA (467 nucleotides) under uncultured bacterium. Its description in RNAcentral is "partial 16S ribosomal RNA". It matches the Rfam family "Bacterial small subunit ribosomal RNA", at positions 28 to 506 of the family's 1533-position model. The record is from RNAcentral.
GACGAACGCUGGCGGCGUGCUUAACACAUGCAAGUCGAACGGAAAGGCCCUGCUCUUGUUGCUUGCUCGAGUGGCGAAUGGGUGAGUAACACGCGAGUAACCCGCCCUUGACUUUGGGAUAACUUUAGGGAACUGGGGCUAAUACCCGAUAGGAUCUCCUGCUGCAUGUUGGGGGUUGGAAAGUCUCGGCGUUUGGGGAUGGACUCGCGGCUUAUCAGCUUGUUGGUGAGGUAGUGGCUUACCAAGGCUUUGACGGGUAGCCGCCCUGAGAGGGUGACGGGCCACAUGGGGGCUGAGAAGCGGCCAAGACGGAUACGUGCGGAAGGAGCGGGGAAGGUUGCACGCGGGGCGGAAGCCUGAGGCAGCAACGCCGGGUGCGAGAAGACGGCUUUCAGGUUGUAAACCGCUUUCACCUGUGAAGAGGCGUGAGGGCCGGUAAUGGGUAGAGAAGCACCGGCAAAUUCCGU